AGCAGUAGCCGCGGGAAUACAGAGGGUGCGAGCGUUAAUCGGAUUUACUGGGCGUAAAGCGUGCGUAGGCGGCUUCUUAAGUCGGAUGUGAAAUCCCUGAGCUUAACUUAGGAAUUGCAUUCGAUACUGGGAAGCUAGAGUAUGGGAGAGGAUGGUAGAAUUCCAGGUGUAGCGGUGAAAUGCGUAGAGAUCUGGAGGAAUACCGAUGGCGAAGGCAGCCAUCUGGCCUAAUACUGACGCUGAGGUACGAAAGCAUGGGGAGCAAACAGGAUUAAAUACCCCCGUAGUCCCUGUCUCUUAUAC
Molecule: ribosomal RNA, 303 nt
Filed under: uncultured bacterium
Lineage: Bacteria
Description: partial 16S ribosomal RNA
Rfam family: Bacterial small subunit ribosomal RNA
Source: RNAcentral